This 69-nucleotide transfer RNA is filed under the name Dialister micraerophilus. It matches the Rfam family "tRNA". Rfam says of the family: Transfer RNA (tRNA) molecules are approximately 80 nucleotides in length. Their secondary structure includes four short double-helical elements and three loops (D, anti-codon, and T loops). Lineage: Bacteria; Bacillati; Bacillota; Negativicutes; Veillonellales; Veillonellaceae. The record is from RNAcentral. RNAcentral also lists the same sequence under 2 other names.
CGGAAGUAGCUCAGUGGUAGAGCACCACCUUGCCAAGGUGGGGGUCGCGGGUUCGAGUCCCGUUUUCCG